RNAcentral lists this ribosomal RNA (436 nucleotides) under uncultured Lachnospiraceae bacterium. RNAcentral's name for it is "partial 16S ribosomal RNA". It matches the Rfam family "Bacterial small subunit ribosomal RNA", at positions 341 to 792 of the family's 1533-position model. Lineage: Bacteria; Bacillati; Bacillota; Clostridia; Lachnospirales; Lachnospiraceae. The record is from RNAcentral.
ACGGGAGGCAGCAGUGGGGAAUAUUGGGCAAUGGGCGCAAGCCUGACCCAGCAACGCCGCGUGAAGGAAGAAGGCUUUCGGGUUGUAAACUUCUUUUAAGGGGGAAGAGGAGAAGACGGUACCCCUAGAAUAAGCCACGGCUAAAUACGUGCCAGCAGCCGCGGUAAUACGUAUGGUGCAAGCGUUAUCCGGAUUUACUGGGUGUAAAGGGAGCGCAGACGGCAUGGCAAGCCAGAUGUGAAAGGCAGGGGCUCAACUCCUGGACUGCAUUUGGAACUGUCAAGCUAGAGUAUCGGAGAGGUAAGUGGAAUUCCUAGUGUAGCGGUGAAAUGCGUAGAUAUUAGGAGGAACACCAGUGGCGAAGGCGGCUUACUGGACGAUAACUGACGUUGAGGCUCGAAAGCGUGGGGAGCAAACAGGAUUAGAUACCCUGGUA